RNAcentral lists this ribosomal RNA (491 nucleotides) under uncultured bacterium. RNAcentral describes it as "partial 16S ribosomal RNA". It matches the Rfam family "Bacterial small subunit ribosomal RNA", at positions 29 to 507 of the family's 1533-position model. The record is from RNAcentral.
GUGAACGCUGGCGGUAGGCCUAACACAUGCAAGUCGUACGGCAGCACAGUAAGAGCUUGCUCUUACGGGUGGCGAGUGGCGGACGGGUGAGGAAUACAUCGGAAUCUACUUUUUCGUGGGGGAUAACGUAGGGAAACUUACGCUAAUACCGCAUACGACCUACGGGUGAAAGCAGGGGAUCUUCGGACCUUGCGCGAUUGAAUGAGCCGAUGUCGGAUUAGCUAGUUGGCGGGGUAAAGGCCCACCAAGGCGACGAUCCGUAGCUGGUCGGAGAGGAUGACGCCCCACAUGGGAACUGAGACACGGCCCACACCCCUCGGGGAGGAAGCGGGGGGGAAUAUUGGACAAGGGGCGCAGGCCUAAUCCAGCAAUCCCGGGGGGGGGAAGAGGGCUUUCGGUUUGUAAAGCCUUUUUGUUGGGAAAGAAAAGCAGCGGGUUAAUCCCCGGUUUUUCUGACGGCCCCCAAAGAAUAAGCCCCGGCUACCUUCGUG